RNAcentral lists this ribosomal RNA (494 nucleotides) under uncultured bacterium. Its description in RNAcentral is "bacterial SSU rRNA". It matches the Rfam family "Bacterial small subunit ribosomal RNA", at positions 29 to 518 of the family's 1533-position model. The record is from RNAcentral.
ACGAACGCUGGCGGCGUGCUUAACACAUGCAAGUCGAGCGGUAAGGCCCCCUUCGGGGGUACACGAGCGGCGAACGGGUGAGUAACACGUGAGUGACCUGCCCCUGACUUCGGGAUAAGCGGCGGAAACGCUGUCUAAUACCGGAUAGGUCCCUGUCGUUGCAUGACGGUGGGGGAAAAAGCCUUGCGCGGUCAGGGAUGGGCUCGCGGCCUAUCAGUUUGUUGGUGGGGUAACGGCCUACCAAGGCGAUUACGGGUAGCCGGCCUGAGAGGGCGACCGGCCACACUGGGACUGAGACACGGCCCAGACUCCUGCGGGAGGCAGCAGUGGGGAAUCUUGCGCAAUGGGCGAAAGCCUGAACCGCAGCGACGCCGCGUGGGGGAUGACGGCCUUCGGGUUGUAAACCUCUUUUACCACUCACGCAGGCUUCCGGUGUUCCGGGAGUUGACGGUAAGUGGGGAAUAAGGACCGGCUAACUACGUGCCAGCAGCCGC